Pelobates cultripes (western spadefoot toad) is the source of this 334-nucleotide non-coding RNA. The record is from the annotation of a GenBank genome assembly. NCBI's taxonomy places the organism in Eukaryota, Metazoa, Chordata, Amphibia, Anura, Pelobatidae.
GCAUCAUUCACAUCAGGCAAUGCUUCUUGUGAAAAGCAAACCCAGAACUGGUGUGUGUUUUUUUAUAGGGCAGGGCAGCUGUAACCAACACCUCUAAUCUCAUCUCAUUGAUUGGACUCCAAUUGGCUAACAUCUCACUCCAAUUAGCUCUUGGAGAUGUCAUUAGUCUAGGGAUUCACAUACUUUUUCCACCUGCACUGUGAAUGUUUACAUGGUGUGUUCAAUAAAAACAUGGCAACAUUUCAUUCUUUGUGUGUUACUAGUUUAAGCAGACUGUGAUUGUCUAUUGUUGUGACUUAGAUGAUGAUCAGAUCACAUUUUAUGACCAAUUUGU